Molecule: long non-coding RNA, 693 nt
Filed under: Marmota monax (woodchuck)
Lineage: Eukaryota; Metazoa; Chordata; Mammalia; Rodentia; Sciuridae
Source: RNAcentral
GUUUUUUCUGAGCUGUUGUUAUCUACAGAGGAGUAUAAUCACGUGAUCUUUACUAUCAACUACUUAGAAUACAAAAGUCAAUAAGAUUUGGGUUGAGGGAAAAUGUUCAGAUGUUCAGGUGGAAAGUAUUUAGAGUGACUCAUUGAAACACAUCUAUUUGAAGCCACUACUACGUAUUAAAUAGCGUGUUUAAUUGGGCUGAGCGGCGGAAUCACUUAUCUCCACAUGAUUAAGCAGCAUUAGCAAUACCUUUAUGGUGGAUGGAAAUAGAGCCUCUCGGGUACUAUUUGUAGAUCCCCUUCCGUAGCUGCACAUGCGACAGAGGCCUGCUGACCACCCCUGGCCUCUUUGCAGGUGUUCUGUAGGACCAGUUUGCCUGCAGAAGCAACACCGUCUGGGCCCAUCUUCCCACAGUGCUGGCCCAGUUCUAGAGUGAGGGGUGCUGACAUGGAACCCAAGGGCCUCAGCUGGACCCCCACUCCAUUUCCUAGACAGAUGACCUUGUGACACAGAUGACCUAACUGUGACAUGGAACCAUGACAGAAUCUAUCGAUAGCAUCUCAUGACAGUGUCCGACACACAGUGAGGACUCAGUGAAAACCCAUGAUAAUAAUGUCGUCCUUGUCAUCACCAAAGCAAAUAGAUCUCCAGGCCUCAGGUUCUUUAUGUGACAGGAGACGUGUGGAAAUGGAC